GAUGAACGCUGGCGGCGUGCCUAAUACAUGCAAGUCGAGCGAACGGACGAGAAGCUUGCUUCUCUGAUGUUAGCGGCGGACGGGUGAGUAACACGUGGAUAACCUACCUAUAAGACUGGGAUAACUUCGGGAAACCGGAGCUAAUACCGGAUGAUAUUUUGAACCGCAUGGUUCAAAAGUGAAAGACGGUCUUGCUGUCACUUAUAGAUGGAUCCGCGCUGCAUUAGCUAGUUGGUAAGGUAACGGCUUACCAAGGCAACGAUGCAUAGCCGACCUGAGAGGGUGAUCGGCCACACUGGAACUGAGACACGGUCAAGACUCCUAAGGGAGGCAGCAGUAGGGAAUCUUCCGCAAUGGGCGAAAGCCUGACGGAGCAACGCCGCGUGAGUGAUGAAGGUCUUCGGAUCGUAAAACUCUGUUAUUAGGGAAGAACAUAUGUGUAAGUAACUGUGCACAUCUUGACGGUACCUAAUCAGAAAGCCACGGCUAACUACGUG
Molecule: ribosomal RNA, 497 nt
Filed under: uncultured bacterium
Lineage: Bacteria
Description: partial 16S ribosomal RNA
Rfam family: Bacterial small subunit ribosomal RNA
Source: RNAcentral